Molecule: ribosomal RNA, 246 nt
Filed under: uncultured bacterium
Lineage: Bacteria
Description: partial 16S ribosomal RNA
Rfam family: Bacterial small subunit ribosomal RNA
Source: RNAcentral
UACAUGGGGUGCAAACGUUUGCUCGGAAUUAUUGGGCGUAAAGCGCACGUAGGCGGUUCGUUAAGUCGGAUGUGAAAGCCCUCGGCUCAACUGAGGAAGUGCGCCCGAAACUGCAGAGCUUGAGUACCGGAGAGGGUGGCGGAAUUCCCCAAGUAGAGGUGAAAUUCGUAGAUAUGGGGAGGAACACCGGUGGCGAAGGCGGCCACCUGGGACGGUCACUGACGCUGAAGAACGCGGAAGCAUGGG